UGAAGCUUUGAUCCCUGGCUCAGGACGAACGCUGGCGGCAUGCCUAAUACAUGCAAGUCGAGCGGAGUUUUGUUGAAAGCUUGCUUUCAACAGGAUUUAGCGGCGGACGGGUGAGUAACACGUAGGCAACCUGCCCCAUAGCCUGGGAUAAACUACCGGAAACGGUAGCUAAUACCGGAUAAUUCCUUUCCCCACCUGGGAAGAGGAUGAAAGACGGAGUAAUCUGUCGCUGAGGGAUGGGCCUGCGGCGCAUUAGCUAGUUGGUGGGGUAACGGCUCACCAAGGCGACGAUGCGUAGCCGACCUGAGAGGGUGAACGGCCACACUGGGACUGAGACACGGCCCAGACUCCUACGGGAGGCAGCAGUAGGGAAUCUUCCGCAAUGGGCGCAAGCCUGACGGAGCAAUGCCGCGUGAGUGAUGAAGGUUUUCGGAUCGUAAAGCUCUGUUGCCAGGGA
RNAcentral lists this ribosomal RNA (457 nucleotides) under Paenibacillaceae bacterium CL3.136. RNAcentral describes it as "bacterial SSU rRNA". It matches the Rfam family "Bacterial small subunit ribosomal RNA", at positions 1 to 445 of the family's 1533-position model. Lineage: Bacteria; Bacillati; Bacillota; Bacilli; Caryophanales; Paenibacillaceae. The record is from RNAcentral.